This is a long non-coding RNA of Cataglyphis hispanica, 498 nucleotides long. RefSeq lists it as uncharacterized. NCBI's taxonomy places the organism in Eukaryota, Metazoa, Arthropoda, Insecta, Hymenoptera, Formicidae. The record is from RefSeq and is a predicted model, not a curated record. The transcript has 3 exons.
GGCUCCACUAUCUGGUUGCCUGGUAGACCAAGUUGCACUAACGCUUCCAGGUUGUCCUCUAGGCCAGGUACUACUUCCCUCUGCAGGUUUUUUACUAGGCCAAGAUCCGCUACUGCCUCCAGGCUGUUUUCCGGGCCAGGUACCACUAGGUCUAGGGUGUCCGCCAGACGUAGUCCUACUUUCGUCUCCAGGUUUUUCACUAGGCCAACUUUCGGCUCCACUACCUGGUUGCUUGGUAGGCCAAGUUGCACUAACGCUUCCAGGUUGUCCUCUAGGCCAGGUACUACUUCCAUCUCCAGGUUUUUUGCUAGGCCAAGGUCCGCUACUGUCUUCAGGCUGUUUCCCAGGCCAGGUAUCACUUAGAGUUCCAUACACGCCAGGCGUAGCACCACUUCCAGGUUGUUCGCCAGGCCAUGCUUUACUUCCGCUUCCAGGUUGUUUGCCAGACCAAGCACCAGCUUCAGCAUAAGAAUGUGUGCCAUGAGGAGCAAUUUCAUA